GAUCUGGGAACGGGCGGCCAAGGGAGCGGCGUCGGCGUCCUCCAGCGGAAGGCGGCGGGAGAACGGCGAAAUCGGCCAGCGACAGGUGGAAAGGAGUCGCCGCCGCAGCCGCAGCAGGUCGGAGCCGAGGGGAGGUGGGCGGACAACAACGAGCGACGCCUCGAGGGAGAGAGGGCUGCCUGUCUUCUGGAUCCGAAGGCCCAUCCUCUCCCCCAGCCGAUGACGCCAUGCCGGCCUCCUCAUUUGAUUGAUGCAUCCUCAUCAUCAGCCAAAGCGGCUUGCACAAGGCAGCGAAGUUCAGAUGUGUGGGAUACUGUAGUUGAGGCACGGGUUGAUGGCAUGUUGAUGAGCCAAUCCUGCUGCUCCAAUUGA
RNAcentral lists this long non-coding RNA (372 nucleotides) under Oryza sativa Indica Group (long-grained rice). RNAcentral's name for it is "lncRNA OsMH63_12G001400". Lineage: Eukaryota; Viridiplantae; Streptophyta; Magnoliopsida; Poales; Poaceae. The record is from RNAcentral.